Long non-coding RNA from Drosophila pseudoobscura, 565 nucleotides. RefSeq lists it as uncharacterized. The record is from RefSeq and is a predicted model, not a curated record. The transcript is spliced from 4 exons. NCBI's taxonomy places the organism in Eukaryota, Metazoa, Arthropoda, Insecta, Diptera, Drosophilidae.
AAAAAUCUUUUUUGUUUUAAUGCAUCCCUGGCCUUUUUGCAGCGUUUUAAAGUCAGCUGUUUGAUAAGCUACAAUCGAUAGUAAAAAACGCGGGAAACUGUUUGUUUACUUUGAGAGCUUACCAAAUUGAAACUAAGUUCAAAAACUGAAAUCAAAGUAAUGGAAAAGAAAGGGCAGGGUAGAGAAUACUUAACCAAUGUGCCCGUCUCUUUUGGUCAAUAACUAAUUUUGUGAGCAAUUGUGCGAGAAAGUAAUUAUGUGAGGCGGAGUUCACUUAUGAAAAGCUGCUCAGUAUUUACAUUGAGAAUAAUCGAAGCGCCGCAGCACUUUCGAGUAGGAUUUUUGAAGAACUGAAGGCAUACAAAAUAAGCACGGAGAAAAAGGAUGAAAUAAAUAAUAAAAUGGUUAUCAAAGUUGAAAGAACGUCGUCAUCGAAUUCCAUGACUUCAACAUCAAGAUCAGUUGGACGCCCACCAAUUGAAUAUAUAAAUGCUGGACCCCGUUUGAAGAGAAAAUUAGCAUCAGAUUUAGCUGGCAAUCAAGGUCACAAGCAUACAUUACUUAA